AUUGAACGCUGGCGGAAUGCUUUACACAUGCAAGUCGAGCGGCAGCGCGGGGCAACCUGGCGGCGAGCGGCGAACGGGUGAGUAAUACAUCGGAACGUACCCUAUUGUGGGGGAUAACGAAUCGAAAGAUUCGCUAAUACCGCAUAAGACCUGAGGGUGAAAGUGGGGGAUCGCAAGACCUCACGCGAUAGGAGCGGCCGAUGUCGGAUUAGCUAGUUGGUGAGGUAAAGGCUCACCAAGGCGACGAUCCGUAGCGGGUCUGAGAGGACGGCCCGCCACACUGGGACUGAGACACGGCCCAGACUCCUACGGGAGGCAGCAGUGGGGAAUUUUGGACAAUGGGGGCAACCCUGAUCCAGCCAUUCCGCGUGAGUGAAGAAGGCCUUCGGGUUGUAAAGCUCUUUCGGCAGGAACGAAACGGUGGGGGCUAAUAUCCCUCGCUAAUGACGGUACCUGAAGAAGAAGCACCGGCUAACUACGUGCCAGCAGCCGCGGUAA
Molecule: ribosomal RNA, 498 nt
Filed under: uncultured bacterium
Lineage: Bacteria
Description: partial 16S ribosomal RNA
Rfam family: Bacterial small subunit ribosomal RNA
Source: RNAcentral